Tinamus guttatus (white-throated tinamou) is the source of this 104-nucleotide non-coding RNA. NCBI's taxonomy places the organism in Eukaryota, Metazoa, Chordata, Aves, Tinamiformes, Tinamidae. The record is from RefSeq and is a predicted model, not a curated record.
UUAAAUGCCUGCAGACAAAAUCUAGUGAUAGAGAGUUUCCUGAAAUUCUGCUUCAACAGAAAGAGCAUAUGUUUAAGUAAUAUUUUCUUCCUAACUUCUCAAGG